AGCAGCAGCCGCGGUAAUACGUAGGUGGCAAGCGUUGUCCGGAAUUAUUGGGCGUAAAGGGCUCGCAGGCGGUUUCUUAAGUCUGAUGUGAAAGCCCCCGGCUCAACCGGGGAGGGUCAUUGGAAACUGGGAAACUUGAGUGCAGAAGAGGAGAGUGGAAUUCCACGUGUAGCGGUGAAAUGCGUAGAGAUGUGGAGGAACACCAGUGGCGAAGGCGACUCUCUGGCCUGUAACUGACGCUGAGGAGCGAAAGCGUGGGGAGCGAACAGGAUUAGAUACCCGGGUAGUCCCUGUCUCUUAUAC
This 303-nucleotide ribosomal RNA is filed under the name uncultured bacterium. Its description in RNAcentral is "partial 16S ribosomal RNA". It matches the Rfam family "Bacterial small subunit ribosomal RNA", at positions 507 to 807 of the family's 1533-position model. The record is from RNAcentral.